Molecule: ribosomal RNA, 301 nt
Filed under: uncultured bacterium
Lineage: Bacteria
Description: partial 16S ribosomal RNA
Rfam family: Bacterial small subunit ribosomal RNA
Source: RNAcentral
CAGUAGCCGCGGGAAUACGGAGGGGGCUAGCGUUGUUCGGAAUUACUGGGCGUAAAGCGCACGUAGGCGGCUUGGUAAGUUAGAGGUGAAAGCCCGGAGCUUAACUCCGGAAUUGCCUUUAAGACUGCCGAGCUAGCAGGUGAGAGAGGUAAGUGGAAUUCCGAGUGUAGAGGUGAAAUUCGUAGAUAUUCGGAAGAACACCAGUGGCGAAGGCGGCUUACUGGCUCAUACUGGACGCUGAGGUGCGAAAGCGUGGGGAGCAAACAGGAUUAGAUACCCCGGUAGUCCCUGUCUCUUAUAC